RNAcentral lists this ribosomal RNA (253 nucleotides) under uncultured bacterium. Its description in RNAcentral is "partial 16S ribosomal RNA". It matches the Rfam family "Bacterial small subunit ribosomal RNA", at positions 524 to 776 of the family's 1533-position model. The record is from RNAcentral.
UACGUAGGGUGCGAGCGUUAAUCGGAAUUACUGGGCGUAAAGCGUGCGCAGGCGGUGAUGUAAGACAGAUGUGAAAUCCCCGGGCUCAACCUGGGAACUGCAUCUGUGACUGCAUCGCUGGAGUACGGUAGAGGGGGAUGGAAUUCCGCGUGUAGCAGUGAAAUGCGUAGAUAUGCGGAGGAACACCGAUGGCGAAGGCAAUCCCCUGGACCUGUACUGACGCUCAUGCACGAAAGCGUGGGGAGCAAACAGG